This 231-nucleotide unclassified non-coding RNA is filed under the name rhizosphere metagenome. RNAcentral's name for it is "partial ribosomal RNA internal transcribed spacer region". The record is from RNAcentral.
CUUUCAAAACAGGGUGCGUCGCGGCCCCCGAGGUGCGGAAACAAGCCUCGAGCGGUUUGGGGUCCUCCCCUUCACGCGCGCACGACUGCCAUCCUUACUUUACGAGCACCUUCUGUUCUCCCUCGGCGGGGCAACCUGCCGUUGGAACCGAAUAAACUCUUUUUGCAUCUAGCAUUACCUGUUCCGAAACAAACAAUCGUUACAACUUUCAACAAUGGAUCUCUUGGCUCU